AAUAAAUGUGAGAAAAUCACAUAUGCGGACCUGUACCAGCUUGCUGGAAUUGCUGCUCUUAAGAUCACCGGCGGCCCAAAAAUUGAAUUUGUUCCCGGCAGAGAGGAUUCUAUGCAGGAUCCAGAACAAGGCGGGCCACUUAAAGAUAAGACGCUAGAUGAAUCAGUACUGGAGAAAAUCACAAAACGCAUGGAUCUUGAAGAAAAACACAUGGUGGCAUUGGUUGGCGGCCUCUGCCAAUGGGAUCAGCAACUUAAAAGCGCAGGCCAAGAGAAAAAGGCUGAUGAAAGCGAAGGCCAAGAGGAA
Molecule: long non-coding RNA, 306 nt
Organism: Neltuma alba
Lineage: Eukaryota; Viridiplantae; Streptophyta; Magnoliopsida; Fabales; Fabaceae
Exons: 5
Source: RefSeq, a predicted model, not a curated record